CGCGUAGGCGGCCUUCUAAGUCGAACGUGAAAUCCCCGGGCUCAACCCGGGAACUGCGUCCGAUACUGGAAGGCUUGAAUCCGGGAGAGGGAUGCGGAAUUCCAGGUGUAGCGGUGAAAUGCGUAGAUAUCUGGAGGAACACCGGUGGCGAAGGCGGCAUCCUGGACCGGCAUUGACGCUGAGGCGCGAAAGCCAGGGGAGCAAACG
This 207-nucleotide ribosomal RNA is filed under the name uncultured bacterium. RNAcentral describes it as "partial 16S ribosomal RNA". It matches the Rfam family "Bacterial small subunit ribosomal RNA", at positions 568 to 774 of the family's 1533-position model. The record is from RNAcentral.